GCGUUAUCGGAUUAUUGGGCGUAAGCGCGCGUAGGCGGUUUUUUAAGUCUGAUGUGAAAGCCCACGGCUCAACCGUGGAGGGUCAUUGGAAACUGGAAAACUUGAGUGCAGAAGAGGAAAGUGGAAUUCCAUGUGUAGCGGUGAAAUGCGCAGAGAUAUGGAGGAACACCAGUGGCGAAGGCGACUUUCUGGUCUGUAACUGACGCUGAUGUGCGAAAGCGUGGGGAUCAAACAGGAUUAGAUACCCCAGUAGU
Molecule: ribosomal RNA, 254 nt
Filed under: Caryophanales bacterium
Lineage: Bacteria; Bacillati; Bacillota; Bacilli; Caryophanales
Description: Bacillales bacterium partial 16S ribosomal RNA
Rfam family: Bacterial small subunit ribosomal RNA
Source: RNAcentral